GAAUGAACUCAGAUGGAAAGGAGAGAGAACAGCUUCUGUGCCAAAACAAGGAUGGGGAAAAGCCCUGUAAUCGACUACAUUUACAUUCCUUGAGAGAACACAUUUGCAAUUGAGCCUGGCCUGUAGAACAUGAGGAAUGAAAAGAAUAAACAACUCACUGAUGCACAGCUACAAGGACUAUUUUUGUUUCUCAUUUUGUUGAGGACAUUUCAGAGCUUCUGAAGAAUGAAUAUAAACCAACAUGGGCCAGAAGAAAUACAUAUGUGGAUUAUAGAAAACAUUGAGACCAACUAGUACGGAAAUAGCCUAGAGGAUAUUAAUGAAAAUCAGGAAGAACAAAGUACGUAUUAUGAAGAGAGUUUCAAACCUUUGAAUAUUUUAGGUGGCAUGAUCAAGA
Molecule: long non-coding RNA, 397 nt
Organism: Ochotona curzoniae (black-lipped pika)
Lineage: Eukaryota; Metazoa; Chordata; Mammalia; Lagomorpha; Ochotonidae
Exons: 3
Source: RefSeq, a predicted model, not a curated record